GGGCAAGAGGUUCGACCCGAGCGCAGCGAGAGAACGUUGCGUCAGCAACGGCCCGCAGGGCGAGCCACGCAGUGGCGAGUCAUCCUCUAUCACCGACCA
Molecule: small RNA, 99 nt
Filed under: Salmonella enterica subsp. enterica
Lineage: Bacteria; Pseudomonadati; Pseudomonadota; Gammaproteobacteria; Enterobacterales; Enterobacteriaceae
Description: partial RtT sRNA
Rfam family: RtT RNA
About the family: This family represents a bacterial cis-regulatory element known as RtT RNA.
Source: RNAcentral